Molecule: long non-coding RNA, 3266 nt
Organism: Eriocheir sinensis (Chinese mitten crab)
Lineage: Eukaryota; Metazoa; Arthropoda; Malacostraca; Decapoda; Varunidae
Exons: 2
Source: RefSeq, a predicted model, not a curated record
GUCACCUAGAGGUGACAGACCUUUGUCUGCGUGUAGUUCUGUUAUUUAUUUUUGUUUAUCCUUUAAUUUCGCUUUCUUUCAUGUUCAAUCAUAUACAUUUUCUUUGAUAUACUCCAAUGGGGCCAUUGUUUACAUUUGCAGCAGUGCCAUGGCGUUGAAGACUGUGCACUGAAGGAUUUUCUCCAAAUUCUCAAGUCCCAUCACCAAAAUGGCUGCCAAAAGAAUAAAAAGUCUGACUAUCGAUGAGAUGAUUCAAAUAUUGGAAACUCCAGACAACGAAGACCAAGAAUUGAUGAAUGUAAAUGAAGAAAUCCGAGGCAGAGAUGUAGUAGAAGUCACAAUUUUUCCUCCAGAUGAUGGGGCCCAGACAGAUGAGGAUUCAGAUGAUGAAAAUACAAGAAAUCUGAACCACCUAACUGCAGCUCAGCUAACUUCAGAGUGCGAAGUGAUGACUGAAGUUAGAGACAUGGGAGCAACAAAGAAUGAGUAUACUGAGAAGAAAAGAACAUCACGGAACAGAAAAAAAGACCGUCUCUGGAAAGCUAAUGUAGAACUUCCUAAGUGUCUGUGAAAGAGCAAGCAAUGCAAGCAAAUGAAAAAGUGAGUGACUUCAUGACUCCUACUGAUUGCUUUGAGCUUUGCUUUGAUGAGUCAGCGGUAAAGCUAUUAGUAGACAUGUCAAACACAUAUGCUUCUCAGAAAAACCACACUCUAAAUAUAACUGCAAGUGAAAUGAAAGUGUAUAUAGGCAUUCUGUUGUUGACAGGAUAUCUUACCCCACAGAAUAUACGCAUGUUUUGGGAAACUAAAUCUGACACCCAUAAUGAAUUGGUUUCUCGUAGCAUGAGAAGAGGAAGAUUUUUGGAGAUCCAUAAAUACCUUCACACCUGUAACAACCACCAACUUCCUGAUAAUGACAAAUUCUGUAAAGUGAGACAGUACCUAGAUCAUUUGAAUGAAUGUUUUGUGAAGAACUCAAAAUAUGUAAUGACUACAAAUAAUAUAUCAAUUGAUGAGACAAUGGUGCCCUAUUAUGGACAUCAUGGUAGCAAGCAGCAUAUACACGGGAAACCAAUUAGAUUUGGGCAGAGCUGGGAUUCUGUAGAAAAAAUCUACCACCGGUAUCGGUAGUCGGUAGCGAGCCGCGUCCAAUCGGUAUCGGUAGAUCGGUAGAUUUUUCAGAAAUCUACCGAUCGGUAUAGAUUCGGUAUCGGUAGAUUAAAAAACUCUAUAAUUAUAUAAUAAAAAAAUGCUUUUAAAGGCCCAUAACACACUUUUUAAGUUAUUUCUCUCUUAUUUCGGUUAACUUAAGAAUAGAAGUAAAUUAGAGUCUUUUAAUACCUUUUUUAAGUUCAAAAAUACAUAACUUAUUUAAUAAAUGAAUUUCUCCCUCAAAAAAUAAACAUCAAACUGAAAAAAAGUUCGUAACAAUAUGAUUAAAUAGUUCACUGACUUGAUCAAAACUUUUUUAAUGUAAAAUAAAGUUUAAAAAAGGAAAAUCACUUGAAAAGUUAAAAGCACAAAACGAUUAAGUGCUGCUGCCGCGGCGGACUUAAAAACACUGCCACUUAAAACACUAGGCGAUGAGGCUGAGCACGUUGUCGAGAGCGUAGGAGCUAGAGCGUAGGUGUAGGCUACUCGCGUCGGCAGGCCAAACAAGAGUGGGGCUCCCGCCAAAACUUUUGGCGGGAGCGAGAAUCUGCUAGGUCGUGGCUGCCUCUGAUUGGCUGAGAACGCCCAGAACGGCCGGUGAUUGGCUAAGCGUGAUGACGUCAAAGUAAUACCUGGAAUUUCCUGCUAACUGCUUCCCAUAGAUGCGCUCGAACGUGUUGAAACUUGUCCGUUUCAUUUUGCCGGGGUCGUCUUCUCUUAAGUCUUAACAAAAAAGUCCCGCGCUCGCUUUUUCAAUCUACCGAUACCGAUUGACUGCCAAUCAUGCGAUCGGUAGCGGUAUUCGGUAGUUUCUUCAAAAUACCGAAUGAUCGGUAUCGGUAGCAGUAAUCUACCGCCGGUAGUACCGAUCCCAAAUGUCAAUCGGUAGUCCCAACUCUGGAUUUGGGUACAAGUUAUGGUCAGCAGCAACUCCAGGGGGAUAUCUGAUAAAUUUCAUCCCAUACCAGGGAUCAAAGGCAGCCCCCCUUCCAGAACAAGAGAGCUCGGACUUGGUGCUUCUGUUGUUCUGUCCCUCACAUCUCACCUACCUGAGACAUUCAAGGCAUACAGUCUCUACUUUGAUAACUUUUUUACUAGUCUUGCACUUCUUGAUGAACUUACAGAACUAGGUCAUCGAGGAACGGGAACGAUCCGAGAGAACAUAACUGAGAAGUGCCCUUUGGAAACUGCAGCGGAGAUGAAAAAGAAGCCAAGAGGAUCAAUGACAAUGAGAACAGCAAAAGAUAUAAGUGUUGUUAGAUGGCAUGACAAUAGUAUUGUAACACUUGCAUCCAACAGUUAUGGGUGCCAGCCUAUCACAAAAGUAGACAGAGUCGGAAGUGUAAAUGGGAAGAGACAAAAGAUCAAAGUUGACUGUCCACAUGUGGUGACCAAAUACAACAAAUCUAUGGGUGGAGUGGACCGGUUUGAUCAGAAUAUUGCUGUUCAGAGAGUGUCUUUCAGAGGAAAGAAAUGGUGGUAUCCUCUAUUUGCUUUUGGAAUUGAUGCAGCUUGUCAGAAUGGAUGGCAGAUACAUCGAAUGUGUGGGAAUAGUAAUAUGACAUAUUGUGCAAGCUUACUUAGGAACCUAUCAGAAACCAUCCACAAAGUCACCUUACUGCGGUGCUAGAGUGGAGAAAAGAGUGCAUGAGAAAGUACGCACAGAUGCUGAUAUAUCUGGUCAUGUACAAGAGUCAUGUAAUCAAUCCCGCUGUGCAGAGUGCCACCAGCGGACCAGAGUCAUGUGCAGAAAGUGCAAUGUACCUCUUCAUGUUCAUUGCUUUUAUGUUUUCCAUAACAAAUAAGAGAAUGGAUGCACAGGCCUUUUUUUUUACACGGAUUACAUAUGUUAUUCGGUAGGAUUGGAAGUGUAUCAUGCAGGACUUACUUUUAUUUGGAAGUGUAUAAUGCAGCACUCACUUUUGUAUAAAGAAAUUUCCCAUUAAGUCUAGAUAGUUCAUGUGCUGGCCAACAAUUGCACACACACACAGAGAGAGAGAGAGAGAGAGAGAGAGAGAGAGAGAGAGAGAGAGAGAGAGAGAGAGAGAGAGAGAGAGAGAGAGAGAGAGAGAGAGAGAGAUAGAGAGAGAUAGAGAGAGAGAGAGAGAGAGAGA